This 302-nucleotide ribosomal RNA is filed under the name uncultured bacterium. RNAcentral's name for it is "bacterial SSU rRNA". It matches the Rfam family "Bacterial small subunit ribosomal RNA", at positions 775 to 1067 of the family's 1533-position model. The record is from RNAcentral.
GGAUUAGAUACCCUGGUAGUCCACGCCGUAAACGAUGCACACUAGAUCUGGGAGCCUCUGACGGAAUCCGGGUCGCAGGGAAACCAUUAAGUGUGCCGCCUGGGGAGUACGGCCGCAAGGCUAAAACUCAAAGGAAUUGACGGGGGCUCACACAAGCGGUGGAGCAUGUGGCUUAAUUCGAAACAACGCGAAGAACCUUACCCAGGUUUGACAUGCAUAGAUGCAAUUCGGGGAUAACUCGGAGCGCUGCCCUUUGGGUGAAAUAUGCACAGGUGUUGCAUGGCUGUCGUCAGCUCGUGCCG